AUGAACGCUAGCGGCAGGCUUAAUACAUGCAAGUCGAGGGGCAGCACGAAUAGCAAUAUUUGGUGGCGACCGGCGCACGGGUGCGUAACACGUAUACAACCUACCUAUAACAGGGGGAUAGCCUUUCGAAAGAGAGAUUAAUACCCCGUAAUAAAUUUUGUGGCAUCACAGGAUUUUGAAAGCUCCGGCGGUUAUAGAUGGGUAUGCGUCUGAUUAGCUAGUUGGUGAGGUAAUGGCUCACCAAGGCGACGAUCAGUAGGGGAUCUGAGAGGACUAACCCCCACACUGGUACUGAGACACGGACCAGACUCCUACGGGAGGCAGCAGUAAGGAAUAUUGGUCAAUGGAGGCAACUCUGAACCAGCCAUGCCGCGUGCAGGAUGACGGCCCUAUGGGUUGUAAACUGCUUUUGUACCAGAGAAAACCACCUUACGUGUAGGGUGUUGAUAGUAUGGUAAGAAUAAGCAUCGGCUAACUUCGU
RNAcentral lists this ribosomal RNA (481 nucleotides) under uncultured bacterium. RNAcentral's name for it is "bacterial SSU rRNA". It matches the Rfam family "Bacterial small subunit ribosomal RNA", at positions 29 to 506 of the family's 1533-position model. The record is from RNAcentral.